Molecule: long non-coding RNA, 413 nt
Filed under: Brassica napus (rape)
Lineage: Eukaryota; Viridiplantae; Streptophyta; Magnoliopsida; Brassicales; Brassicaceae
Description: long non-coding RNA (BNAP_LNC013488)
Source: RNAcentral
UCAUUAGAGAAAUACCAGCAAUAAUUUGAAAGCUACAUAAACUAAUAAAAAGUAAAAUAUUUGCUCUUCGGUUGUUACGAUAUCAUCUUCAAGCAUAUGAUCAGCUGCAUCUUCUUCAAAUCCUUCCGGUAAUUAGCCUUGCGCUUUCAUCUUCAAGUAUAUGAUCAGCUACAAGUUGAACCUAUAAACAACAAUAAAAGUAUCAUGUGACGUUCAUAUAGAUAAUAUGUAUAUGUUUCUUUUUACCGCAAUGAACCACCAUUCACUUUGGAAGGAUCGAGACAUUCAAUGCUUGGGCUACUUCGUGUUAUGAUCCUCGUUUUCCGUGUGAUUCAUCGGGAAAAAAAAUAAGAUCAAAAUUAACACUUGAAAGAAAACUAAUAAAGGAUAAAUAAAGCACACGAAAACAAAUU